Long non-coding RNA from Pyrus x bretschneideri (Chinese white pear), 2936 nucleotides. RefSeq lists it as uncharacterized. Lineage: Eukaryota; Viridiplantae; Streptophyta; Magnoliopsida; Rosales; Rosaceae. The record is from RefSeq and is a predicted model, not a curated record. The transcript is spliced from 3 exons.
ACUUAAAAAUCUAUUGGGUUGAUUUACAAAUAUUCGAGCUUGAGAGAGAGGGGGGCUUUUGAUUUUAUAAAUUGUGGAAUGAAUAAACAAUGACAAACUGCUGUAGUAAAACUAUAAACAAAAAUGCUUUAAACAAAAAUUAAUUUCUAGGCACUCAAUUUUAUGCUUAUUUUCGGAAGGGAUAUAUAGAAUGCAUAGCAAGAGCACAUUUGAUCAUCCAUGAGGUUGAAUCCAAAAGGUUACUGGUUGUGAAUGGGAGAAAGAUUGGUAUAAGUGUAAUAAUCGAUCAGUAUACCAACAUUUACACUUACCUCAAUUUUUCUUCCAUUCAAAACCAGCACGAUGUUAGAUUUCAACUUCAUGGAUGAACAAUAUGCUCUUGUUUUGGAUUCCAACGAGCCAAGGUAGACUCCAACCGAGUCCCAAGGGACAUUCUUCGCCAUGUAUUCCUCCACUGCUUCAUUUGAAGCUUUAUAUAAAUGUUUUAAUUUUGCCUCGUCUUCUAAAUGAUUCAACAUCUUAGUCGCGCCCUCCAUGUUGUAGUUGUGGCAUGCAACCGUAAGUGUAUCUGAUCUUACAAUCUUGAAUUGAUGAGGUUUGCUGAUCCAUCCGCGGGAGGUUAUUCUUGAAUCGGUUACGAUAACAAUCGUAUUAUAUAAAUCCAAUAGAAUAUUAGUAGUUCCGUGUUCUCGUAGAAGGCCUAAAAAAGUUCGAAAAUCCUUCUCUAAAUCAUUAGCAAUGGUGAUUACUUGUGUCGAAGUUUCUUUUUCUUUUUGUGCUCCACUCUCUUUAUAAAGCAUGUUAACAAAAUAAAGAAUAAGAGUACAAAGCAUAUCUCAUAAAUAAAGAGUAAAAGCAUAACCUCAUACAUAUACAUAACAAAACAAUUCUGCUGUAAUAUAAUAUUAGCUAAUGAAUUAAACCCUCCAUCGCUCUAACCCUAAACUACCCGCCAAAGCCCCCCUCGCUCCCUUCUCAACCCCAAAGCCCUCUCUCUCAAACACAGUGAUAAACCGUAACUGCCCACAAAGCCCAGUCCCUUCCUCUCUCUGACAAAGCCAUGAACUGCCGACUGAAAGCCAAAUCAAAGGCCAAGUCCCUGGUGGGAUCAGUAUCCUGGAAUUGGAAGAAUUCAGCCCAAGCGCCAAAGCUCCUAGGGUUUAUAUAAUAGCAGCUAGAUGUAUUGUGGUUAGCUGGGUAGAAUUCUGAACAAAUUUCGCAGGAGUGCAUUCAAACGGAUUUUCUGUAGACAUGGUUGCAGAGUUCAUAGCAGCGGAACUCCACUCGGAGUGAUUGCCAUUUCUGAACCCGUCACAUGAAGGCAUGUGAUGCAAGAUCAGCCUGUAUGAAGGUCAGUUGAAAUUCUAAGUUAGCUAAGAAAGUCGUAUCAUACAGUGCAAUGUGCAUAGCUGAUAACUGCAUGUGCAUCAUCCGAGCUAACUGUAGGCAAAAUGCCAGUUUUUAAAGAAAAACAAAAAUGUGAACCGCUCCGGAGACCGAAGAGUAAGGGUUUGGUUGUAAGCUUGUACAAAACCAGUGGCCUAACAAAAUAAUAAGAAGGUUUCUUUAGCUAAAAUGGUCAUUGAGAUUUGUCUAACUUCUCACUUUGGUCUUUGAGAUUUGAAAUCAAUGGAAGUAGUCCAUGACCAUCAAUCAUUUUCGUCAUUUGGUGAAAAAUUAUGUAAAUAAUGAUCAUAAUAACAAAAUUACCCUCAAUAUAAUAAACAAUAGGUCAAAAUGAUUUGGCAAAAUUUGAGGAUAUUUUUGUCAUUUUAUUCUUAUUUUAUGGAGAUUUUCAUGGAAUAACCAAAAUGAUUGAUUGUGGAAAAAUUUAGGGACAAAUUCUAUCGAUUUCAAAUCUCAGGGACCAAAGCGCGGAGUUAUGCAAAUCUCAAAUACCAUUUUAACUAAAAAGUAUAACAAGAAAUCCAUAAGGGGUUUGGUUGUAAGCUUGUACAAAACCAGUUUUAAAUUUUUAAUAUUUUCUUUUUCUAUGGAAUUAUAAAUACUAUCUUUAUUGUUUAAAUAAUUAGUUAUAAGGGUAAAGUUAUCAAUUUAUCAGUAAAAAUUUGACCAAAAAGGUUAUGUAAAAGUGAAUUAAAAAUUGAGGAGUGCUAGUGUAAGGUCUCAAACUUAAAUUUAUGAAAUCGCCUAUAAACCUCAGGGGUGUUAGUGUAAUUAUCAAACCCCAAAAGUUAGUAUAUAAGGGAAACCUCUUAUCCCUCUAACCAAUAAACUACCAGCCAAAGCCCCCCUCCCUCCCUUCUCAAUCUCGCUGUGGCCCAAAUCUAACCUCAAAGCCCUCGCUGGCUCUCUCUCUGAAUAGCCAUGAACCGUCGACUGACAGCAAAAUCAAAGGCCAAGCUCCGCAUGGGACCAGGAUUCUAGCAGGUGAUGAACUCAGCCCAAGAGCCGAAGCUCCUAGAUAAGAAGAAAGAGGAAAAUGCUGUUGAAGACACUUUGACUGAACUCAACGUCUAACUUGAGGAUACAACUUCAGAGAAGAAAACUUGUGAGCCUGAGAAAUGUGUCAACAAAGUUUGUCGUGUUUGCCUCAAGGUUGGCCACUGGACUUGUGAGUGCUCCUACCUCCGUCGUGUCCCAGCUGGCGUAACUGAGGUUGGCAAGGGCUAUGUAAUAGUUUGUUUGCGUUGUCCUUCAGUGCGUAACAGGUGCAAGCAUAAUAUCGGCCGUGCUGUUUACGUGUAUUGUUAUAUAUGUAAAGUGUGGGGUCAGCACAUCACUGGUGAGUGUUCGAAGAUCCCAAGACGAACGAAGGAGGAUACAAAGGAAAAUGCGUUGAACCUGUAUCUCAAAUGAUAUGAUCCUGCUGAAGCGGAGGAUUGGGAUGUACGAAUGCUGGAGCAGUUGUAUCGUCUAGGGACGUUAUUUCAUGGUAGUUGCUUAAUUUUCUCUCUAUUUUCUUUAGUUUGGGC